UAGAGUAAGGUUUCUAGGUCAUUAUGUUACCUAGUGGACCAUUACUCCAAUAAAAAGAUCUAUAGAAUUUGCCAACAAUUUUCCGAAUGAAAUCGUUAAUAAAGUUCAACUACAAAGAUUUUUAGGUAGGCUAAACUAUGUCAGAUUUUUAUCCUGGUUUUAGCAAAUUAUUUAAGCCCUUGUAUGAAAGGCUCAAGAAG
Molecule: long non-coding RNA, 200 nt
Filed under: Gossypium barbadense (sea-island cotton)
Lineage: Eukaryota; Viridiplantae; Streptophyta; Magnoliopsida; Malvales; Malvaceae
Description: long non-coding RNA (GBAR_LNC006940)
Source: RNAcentral